GCGGGCGGGGCGCGGAGCUGGUUGCCGGGGCGGCGGAUGGCGGCGGCUCCUCGAUGGCGGCGGGGCUGAGCGCGGAUCCUGCACCGGCGGCCGGGACGCGGGGACUCCCCCUUCGGUGCGGGGAGGCCCAGUCCUCGGGAUACUGACCGAGCUUUAGUACUGCUGGAAGAAUAUUGCAAAAAACUGCGGAAGCCAGAAGAGCAACAACUGAAAAAAGCCAUCAGAAAGGUGAUGGGCAUCUUUAAGAGCAGCUUGUUUCAGGCACUCCUAGGUAGGUACUAAUAUUUAGUAUUAGGUGCACUGUCUUGGAGGCCAAAGCUAGGUCAGACCUAGUAACUUUCUUAUUAGUCACUAUUUAAUUUUGUGUUUAUGGUGAAAAGCAUGUUGAAGUAAUCCUUACAGGUUCUCUGAGCAGAAACUCAUCGUCCUGAUAUUUUAAAGGUAUUUUCAUACUUACAGAGAAGGAAAAGUAACAGAAACCUAAUAAAAGUUUAGGAGUAAUUAUUCA
RNAcentral lists this long non-coding RNA (508 nucleotides) under Lonchura striata (white-rumped munia). RNAcentral's name for it is "domestica (Bengalese finch) lncRNA (ENSLSDG00000008704.1)". Lineage: Eukaryota; Metazoa; Chordata; Aves; Passeriformes; Estrildidae. The record is from RNAcentral.